This 73-nucleotide transfer RNA is filed under the name Mycobacterium avium. RNAcentral's name for it is "tRNA-Val". It matches the Rfam family "tRNA". From Rfam's summary of the family: Transfer RNA (tRNA) molecules are approximately 80 nucleotides in length. Their secondary structure includes four short double-helical elements and three loops (D, anti-codon, and T loops). Further hydrogen bonds mediate the characteristic L-shaped molecular structure. tRNAs have two regions of fundamental functional importance: the anti-codon, which is responsible for specific mRNA codon recognition, and the 3' end, to which the tRNAs corresponding amino acid is attached (by aminoacyl-tRNA synthetases). tRNAs cope with the degeneracy of the genetic code in two manners: having more than one tRNA (with a specific anti-codon) for a particular amino acid; and 'wobble' base-pairing, i.e. permitting non-standard base-pairing at the 3rd anti-codon position. The record is from RNAcentral. Lineage: Bacteria; Bacillati; Actinomycetota; Actinomycetes; Mycobacteriales; Mycobacteriaceae. RNAcentral also lists the same sequence under 1 other name.
GCCUCUGUAGCUCAGCGGAAGAGCACCCGCCUUACACGCGGGGCUGUCGGGCGUUCGAAUCGCUCCAGGGGCA